UUAUUGGAGAGUUUGAUCCUGGCUCAGGAUGAACGCUGGCGGCGUGCCUAAUACAUGCAAGUCGAGCGAAUGGAUUGAGAGCUUGCUCUCAAGAAGUUAGCGGCGGACGGGUGAGUAACACGUGGGUAACCUGCCCAUAAGACUGGGAUAACUCCGGGAAACCGGGGCUAAUACCGGAUAAUAUUUUGAACUGCAUAGUUCGAAAUUGAAAGGCGGCUUCGGCUGUCACUUAUGGAUGGACCCGCGUCGCAUUAGCUAGUUGGUGAGGUAACGGCUCACCAAGGCAACGAUGCGUAGCCGACCUGAGAGGGUGAUCGGCCACACUGGGACUGAGACACGGCCCAGACUCCUACGGGAGGCAGCAGUAGGGAAUCUUC
This 377-nucleotide ribosomal RNA is filed under the name Bacillus toyonensis. Its description in RNAcentral is "bacterial SSU rRNA". It matches the Rfam family "Bacterial small subunit ribosomal RNA", at positions 1 to 366 of the family's 1533-position model. The record is from RNAcentral. Lineage: Bacteria; Bacillati; Bacillota; Bacilli; Caryophanales; Bacillaceae.